This is a non-coding RNA of Saimiri boliviensis boliviensis (Bolivian squirrel monkey), 291 nucleotides long. The record is from RefSeq and is a predicted model, not a curated record. Lineage: Eukaryota; Metazoa; Chordata; Mammalia; Primates; Cebidae.
AGGGCCUCCUGAAUAACAUCCUUCCUUGAAGCCUACCACUGAAAUGGAAGAUCCUGUUGUGAAAGAAGCAGUACAAAGAAAGAAUGUACAGACAUCGAGAGCAGUACCCUUUGGAAAUCCUUAACUAUAUUGUGAUGCUCAGAAAUAAUAUGCAGAAUUUGUGUCUUAAAAUGGAAGGUGAGUGGUUCUACACUUUACAUAUCUUUCUGCCACUUUCUUUUGUGUACUUUGUAUUCUAUUUUCCAGAUGUAUCCACAUUGAUACGAUUAGCUCUGGUUUAAUUCAGUUUUA